This is a long non-coding RNA of Loxodonta africana (African savanna elephant), 246 nucleotides long. It matches the Rfam family "Prostate androgen-regulated transcript 1 conserved region 2". NCBI's taxonomy places the organism in Eukaryota, Metazoa, Chordata, Mammalia, Proboscidea, Elephantidae. The record is from Rfam.
UCGUACGCUAGGCUAUAAUUUAUGAAACUGAGCCCCAGAUCCAGCCAAUCGUUUAGCUCCUCAUAACAAGUCUAACUGGCUCGGGCAAGCUGAAAGGGCUGCGCUAGAACAGCAUAGAUGAGAUAUUUCGCACAAUAAUCUGCUGAUCUGGGAUCGCUUUCCCUCACGAGGCCAGAGAAAAAUCACAGCUUCGUUGUCUGGAGGAAGGACAGGUGACCUGGGAAUAGAUGGCAACACCUGGGGCAA